UUCAACCCACAAGAUCCCGAUCAAGCCAGCCACUUUGUGUCGGAUGGAAGGACUCUCUUCUGCCUUGAGCUCACCAAGAACUUCAAUCCUGAUGACGAAGCUGACAUAGAUAAGGUUAGAUUUUCCCAUACAAACAACAAAGAUCACCUAAUGUGUAGAAAUCUUGAUUCAUUUUGUUGUUGUUGUUGUACCUUAUGCAGGAAAUUAAGUGGUUAUUAUCUGAAUUAAGCUACAUCCCAUCAACACUGUUUGUUACACAAGUUUCAUAUGUGGAAUUCUUGGACAGGGUCCAUGCAGCAGAGCUCAAAAUGCGAUCAAAAGGGCUGUGGGAUCUCCCACACCCAUGGCUCAAUCUCCUCGUGCCGCGCUCCAAAAUCCACACCUUCGCCGACGGCGUCUUCGGCAACAUUCUAACCGACACCAACAACGGCCCCGUCCUCAUCUACCCAGUAAACAAAUCAAAGUAAUCAUUCAUCGCCUCAAAGACUGGUCUUUUUUUUUUGGUUCAGACAUUUCGUCGAACAGAUUGUGAUCGUUUUGAAUUCCUCCAGGUGGGACAACAGAACUUCGUUCGUGACGCCGGAUGAAGACGUGUUCUACCUGGUGGCGUUCCUCCCGCACGCGGCGGAGAGCGAGGGGCUGCAGAAUCUGCUGAAUCAGAACAGGAGAAUCUUGAAUUUCUGCGAUGCGGCGGAGCUGGGAGUGAAGCAGUAUCUGCCGCACUACAAAACGCAGGAGGAAUGGCGGGCCCAUUUCGGGGCGCGGUGGGAGAUCUUUGCGCAGAGGAAAUCGGCCUACGAUCCUCUCGCGAUUCUCGCGCCGGGGCAGAGGAUUUUCCAGAAAUCCAUCUCGAUUUUAUGACGGAAAAAGAGAAAAACUCAACUCAUGAUACAACCAAAUUUUCAGCUUUAAGAAGAAAAGCCUGAAUAUGGAAUUAAAUACAACUAUUGUAUAGAUAUAUUAAUUAUCGUUAUUUUUUUAUACCUUCUCAGAUCUUAAAAGAAAACAACUGUAAAGUAUCAAGGGGAGGAAAUAUUCUAAACUGCUUAAACAAAUUACUCCAUUUUUUUUUUAUCAGUAAAAUAUAACUUUUAUUGAAAGAAAAUGAAUCAAGGCAUCAGGAAUGCCAAUCAACACAACAAUACAAGUUUGAAAUCUUUGGAACACCAAGAAGUAAAAGAAAUUCCUAACUCCACGAUUUUGUAGGCCUCGUUUCAACUCCAAAGUCUCCCCUUAAUCUGUAAUACAAGUCUAUCAAUAUCUCAAGCCUUGUCCUGGAAACGACUACCAUUCACUCCAUUUAGUAGUAACAUUUUAUUUUAACAUUACUACAAAGUAUAUACUUAAUUUCCCAUUUAUUUGGUAACUUCGCAAGCUGUUUAAAUUUCACCUAUAUUGCAUAUAAAGUAUAAGCCAUAGAAAAAUAUGUUUGCUUGGUUCAUAUCUAAGACAAAAUACAUAUUGUUGCCAAUUAUUCGACGAAGACAAAAUUACGUGUUCACACAGUUUCAUUCUGGUCUUUUCAACGAGUGUGAGAUCC
Molecule: long non-coding RNA, 1540 nt
Filed under: Salvia miltiorrhiza (redroot sage)
Lineage: Eukaryota; Viridiplantae; Streptophyta; Magnoliopsida; Lamiales; Lamiaceae
Description: long non-coding RNA (SMIL_LNC004565)
Source: RNAcentral